ACUAUUUUAGUGAUAGCCCCUGUAUUAAGAACACCUUACUCUGCAGUGAGCACCUCCCCUCAUCAUUUAUAAGAUUCAGCCUGAUCAUCUCCUACACUUCUUCAUAGGGAGCCCCUUGUGGAGUACUAGGAAGCCGUACCAUGACAACACCAAUGUGCUGCAUAGUAGAAGGCAGUACAGUAGAAGCCAUUUUAAGAGAGUCAUCUGGGCACCAAGUUUGGUUGAAAUUGCUUAAGGCGUUCCAGAGUUAUGCUGGAACACACACAGACAAACACACAGAGCCAUUUAUAGAAGAAAUAGAAGAUGA
This is a long non-coding RNA of Ahaetulla prasina, 307 nucleotides long. RefSeq lists it as uncharacterized. The record is from RefSeq and is a predicted model, not a curated record. The transcript has 4 exons. NCBI's taxonomy places the organism in Eukaryota, Metazoa, Chordata, Lepidosauria, Squamata, Colubridae.